CGCUGAGACACAUUUUUGUCCCAAACUCAAUUCCAAGCAUCGGGUCAAAGCCCUAGGAAAGAAAACUGGAUCUGAGGGAUCCAGAGGCAGACAAUAACAGAAAUUAAAAGGCACAACACAGAUAAUGGAGCUAUUUUUUUCUUUCGUUGUCCAAGUGGAAGAUGUUAAAAAAGAAACCCUCAAUGAUCAGAUUUAUUUGGAGAAGACAAAAAACCCACAACCCAAAGGAUGGGAUUUUACAUCUCAAGACAUCUCCUAGUACAGCAAAACUGCAUUUCCCAAGCUCCUCUUCUCUCAAUGGGUCACAUGACUUGUUCUAGCCAAUAGAACGAGGGUGGAAGUAAUGUGACCACUUUCAGGUGUCCCCUAAAGUCUCCUGUGAGAUCUUCCAAUCUUGCUCUCCUCACUCUGCAUGGCUGGAAAUGAA
This is a long non-coding RNA of Homo sapiens (human), 427 nucleotides long. The record is from Ensembl. NCBI's taxonomy places the organism in Eukaryota, Metazoa, Chordata, Mammalia, Primates, Hominidae.